Molecule: long non-coding RNA, 1238 nt
Organism: Camelus dromedarius (Arabian camel)
Lineage: Eukaryota; Metazoa; Chordata; Mammalia; Artiodactyla; Camelidae
Exons: 5
Source: RefSeq, a predicted model, not a curated record
UUCUCUUACACUGUUUAUUUAAUGAGGGUGGCGGCCAGUGGAAACUUCAAGGAGGCUCCAUGAACCCUUGGCAUCACCCCCAGCAAAGCUGAGUUCUUGCCUUUGCUGAAUCCCCAGACCUCAGAACCCUCUGCCCCUCCCAACACUCUCCCCGGACCACCUGGUUCUGCGGUUUUGUUUGUUCUCAGGCUAAAUUGCCAACUUCAGGAAGAUCUGAAGUGGGAGUUUGGCAGAAGUGUGAAGAGUUGAUUCAAAUCAGAAACCCCCAAACACAAAAUUGUGACUGUUUCAGUUUCUGUUUCCUCCAGCUUGGGUGCCGUUUUUCCCUGGAGGGUUCUGAUCCUACUUUCCGGUUGCCCUUCACGAUCUUUGCCUAGCCCAGAAAGCGCUCCAGAGGAGGGGACUGCUGGACCCUGUUGCUUCAUUUGGCACCGCCGAUCUAAUGAGAAAGGUUCUGAGGGAUGCACCAGGAAGACACACAAAGACCAGCAAAAUGAAGACUGAGGAACUCAAGAAGCACGCAAGGAAAGGGGUGGGAUGACAUCGCCAGAGACCUCCGAUGCUCUUGUCUGCCUUGAGCUGCCAGACCAGCACCAGUGCCAUGUACCCGAGUGUUACCAGCUCUGGACCUCACUUAUAUGUCAAGACCCUGACUUCUCACAGAAUCCUCUGCUAACAAGCAUUCACAGAAGUCACCAUGUGCUCAUGAAUAUAACCAGAAACAUUUCCUUUUUGGUCUGUCGGAUCCAGACACUGUCAGAAGCAGCGAGUGGAGCCCUCGUUCUUCUUUUCAUGGGAGGUCAGACUGCCUCCCGUAAGCAUCUUGAAUCUGUGCCAGUCUCAUCUCUGCUUGGUGAUGUCCAGGGAAGCAGAAUCCUCACCUCACAACGCUGGCCUGCUUGACACUUCAUCCAAAUUUGGACAGUUGAGCAGUAUCCUCAAUUCUAGGGGCAUUUCCUCUCUCAGAAGUUUCAAAUAGCGGGAAUCUCAGGCCUUCCCAGACCUCCUUCAAGGAAAAGGUUGGACCUGGAGGUUCUGACCACAAAUGUAAGUUUCAGGUGAGGCUUGAGGCUGAGCUGAGAUUGGCAUGGUAGGCCACCUGGGAUUCAUGGUGAACAAAUUCAAGACAAAAUGGACAUCAGUGGUAGAUCAGAGAGCAAAGAAAUUUGUGCUGUUAUAAAGUAGGAAAAUUGUCUCCAGAAUGAACUUACUAGACUCAAAGCAGGUAUUAAGGACAC